This 405-nucleotide ribosomal RNA is filed under the name uncultured bacterium. RNAcentral describes it as "bacterial SSU rRNA". It matches the Rfam family "Bacterial small subunit ribosomal RNA", at positions 9 to 409 of the family's 1533-position model. The record is from RNAcentral.
GAGUUUGAUCAUGGCUCAGGAUGAACGCUAGCUACAGGCUUAACACAUGCAAGUCGCGGGGCAGCAUGAAGGAUGCUUGCAUUCUUUGAUGGCGACCGGCGCACGGGUGAGUAACGCGUAUCCAACCUGCCUGUUACCACGGCACAGCCCGUCGAAAGGCGGAUUAAUGCCGUAUGUGGUCCCUUGCGGGCAUCUAAUUAGGACUAAAGGUUCGGCGGUAACGGAUGGGGAUGCGUCCGAUUAGCUAGACGGCGGGUAACGCCCACCGUGGCGACGAUCGGUAGGGGUUCUGAGAGGAAGGUCCCCCCAACUGGAACUGAGACACGGUCCAGACUCCUACGGGAGCAGCAGUGAGGAAUAUUGGUCAAUGGGCUAAGCCUGAACCAGCCAAGUAGCGUGAGGGAA